Molecule: unclassified non-coding RNA, 356 nt
Filed under: soil metagenome
Description: partial contains 5.8S ribosomal RNA, internal transcribed spacer 2, and large subunit ribosomal RNA
Rfam family: 5.8S ribosomal RNA (bases 1-120)
Source: RNAcentral
GAUGAAGAACGCAGCGAAAUGCGAUAAGUAAUGUGAAUUGCAGAAUUCAGUGAAUCAUCGAAUCUUUGAACGCACAUUGCGCCCGUCAGUAUUCUGGCGGGCAUGCCUGUUCGAGCGUCAUUACGCCCCUCAAGUCCCCUGUGGACUUGGUGUUGGGGAUCGGCGAGGCUGGUUUUCCAGCACAGCCGUCCCUUAAAUUAAUUGGCGGUCUCGCCGUGGCCCUCCUCUGCGCAGUAGUAAAACACUCGCAACAGGAGCCCGGCGCGGUCCACUGCCGUAAAACCCCCCAACUUUUUAUAGUUGACCUCGAAUCAGGUAGGACUACCCGCUGAACUUAAGCAUAUCGAUACGGAGGA